CAAUCUGGCCGAAUACCACGACCCGGAGAGUGAGCCCGACUCCGAGCCUUACGACGACUCCUUCGAGAGCAUGGAGCUCGCUGUUGGCGAGUGGAAGAGUCUUAUCCACAUGGAGAUCGUGACCUUCGACCCCGACAAUCCCAGUAAAACAGCAAUGUAGGAUGCUGCGAUGUGCUGGCGACUCCCAGUGUUUGGUGUGAUACCUACACAUCGUGCCGUAAAGGUCAACCACAUCUCAGAGAGACAAAUACAUAAUUUUACCCUGUUCUCUUUAGUUCCUCUGACAUUUCUCGCAGCUAAAAUGCAUUUUACUAGGCGAAUGAAUUUCUAUCUGUUUCACAGCAAGCAUGUAAACUUGAAUAUUAAAAUCGUUUUUCACGAGG
Scophthalmus maximus (turbot) is the source of this 383-nucleotide long non-coding RNA. RefSeq lists it as uncharacterized. The record is from RefSeq and is a predicted model, not a curated record. The transcript is spliced from 2 exons. NCBI's taxonomy places the organism in Eukaryota, Metazoa, Chordata, Actinopteri, Pleuronectiformes, Scophthalmidae.